Lemur catta (Ring-tailed lemur) is the source of this 2360-nucleotide long non-coding RNA. RefSeq lists it as uncharacterized. The record is from RefSeq and is a predicted model, not a curated record. NCBI's taxonomy places the organism in Eukaryota, Metazoa, Chordata, Mammalia, Primates, Lemuridae. The transcript has 6 exons.
UCAGAGGGGUAGGUGGGGGCUGGGCUCUGGCUCACACUGCUACGGUCACUGGCCCGGGGCAGCUCAGGGGUCUUGCCCUGUUCAUAGCUGCUGCUCACUGCUGGGCCACUGUAGCUGGUUUCAGAGGGGGCUGAAGACAUGGCCACAACGGGGCUGGUGAUCACCUCAUAGUUGGUGGGCACUUUCUGCUCCAAGUCAGCGAGAGAUGUCUGGCGUGGCUUCUGGUGGGGGGCACGGCUGUCAGCUGGGACCGGAAAAAGGGUGCUCUGUGUGGUUGGCAUGGGUGUUUGGGCUGCAUAGUGGCCUGUGGGACGGAAAGCCUGCUGGUUUGGCAGGCCAGGCUCAGCUGGGUAGCUGGUGCCAGGAGGAAAGGCAGGUGCUGGGUAUGUGCUUGGGCCAGGGUAGGUGGGUGGUUGGUGGGCUGGGAAUCCGUUCUGAGUUGGCCCACCACUGCCUGCGGUGUACUGUGGGGCUGGAGGUGGGAACCGGGGCUGCUGGAAGACAGCAGGGCCGGAGGGAGUGGCAGGAGCUGCGGCAGUGGCAGGGAAGUCCACAUACUGGCCGGCAGGAGUGGUGCAGCCCUGGAGACGCAGCUGGUUGAGCUCACUGUCUGACAGAUAGUCACGAUGCUCACCAAGACCUCGCAAAGCUCUGCCUGCUUCUUGCGCAGCUUGGUGGACUCAUGCUCCACCAGCCGCAGGUCCCGGUCCAGCUCCCGGAGCAGGCUGGCCUUGGUAGCAGGGACAGCGGUGGGCCCCGCCAGCCCUCGCUGCAGCAGGCUGGCUGCAUACAGCUGUUGGGGGGCCUGGCCAGCCAGGGGAAGAGCUCCGGACAGUGAGUGAGUGGGGCAGGGGCAGCGUUCCUUCUGUGCAGGUUUCCAGCACUGGCCUGCCACACAUGGCUUUGAGAACCCCUGCACAUCUCCACUGGGCUUCCACCCUCUGAGCCCAUGGCCAGGCUACCUCUCACAGUCCCUGUAUAUAUCACUGGCAACUAAAGCCACAGCCACAGGUAAGUUUAUGCUCCAGGAGCCCCUAUCUAGGGAAGCAGACAGCUAUGUAAACAGAUUUACUGAGGGCCCGGUAGGGGUGGGGAACACCCUGAGGCAGAGGGCACACUGCAGCCCACUGGGAUGAGCCUCGAGGGCUAGGCCAUGGGGUUUGGACUUUCUGUGGUGCAAUGGAAGCCAGGCCAGGGCUGGGAAGCGGGGAGCAGCCCAGCUAGGUCUAUGUUACUCAUUUUCUCAGGAAACAUCCAUAGAUGAGGUUUGGAGUGGGAGGGGCCAAGACUGGAAGUAAGAGCGGAACAGGCCUGAAGGGGAAGUGGCAGGGGCUGGACUAGGUAUGGGGGGGAUGAAGGGAUAGUGCUUGGGAGAGGCUGAAGUCUCUAGUGGGUGUCUGGCUGUAAGGCUGUGGGGGCCAUGUGUGUCUGGAUCUGCCCAGGCUGGGCCUGCCAGGUUGCAGGCUCUAUCAGAUGUGCAUCAAGGAGGGUCUGUUCCUUGGCUCCUUCCCCUGGGCCUCUGGAGUCAAAGGUGACUCCACUCCCACCCCAGGAGAAGCCCCUCCCUGUGGGGGCCCCUCAGGCUAGGCAGAGACCCCUGUCCCACCCUGGACCAGCCCCUGUGCCCAUACCUGGCUACCCAGUCCCCCCUGGUGCUGGUAGAGGGAGAACCUCUCUUUGGCAGACUCCUCGGCGGUGGGGCUGAGGGGCUUAGGGUCAGACAAGGACCGCUGCAGGGUCUUCAUGGGGCGAGGCAGCGUCUGCUGGCGGAGAGCGCUGUCAGCUGUGAAGUGCUUCUGGGGACUCACGUGAGCCUUGUUCAGCCUCUCACUGGAAGCAAAGGAGGUGUCCAGGAGCCGGUGUGGGGAGAGGGGUGAGACUGCAAAGCCCAGGUCCCGUGAGGAGGCCUGCCGCAUGCGAACUAUGCUCUGUGAUGUCUGAAGAAUUUCCUCAUACACAGCUGCUUCCAGGCUGGCCGGCGUGCCCUCUGAGGCAGGCUGAGCAGUCCGGCCAUAGUCAUGGUCUGGGGCACCUUGGUAUUCAAAGGAACCCUGGCCCCGGGGGCCUGUGGGCUGAGAUGGGCCAUCAUGGGGCCCCCGGGCCCCUGCCACCUGGCCCUGUUGCCGCUGGAGCAGCUCGGCUUUUCUCAUCAUCUCCUCGUAGGCCUCCUCAGCGCUCUUGAGGGGCCGAACAGAACUGGGAGUGGUGGAGCUACCCGAGGGUGUCUCAGUUGGAUAUCCUCCAGCUCUUCCUCAGAGUCAAAGGCCUCAGGCGUGAUGGACAAGGAGUGGGGCCGUCGCGUCUGCUCCUCACCUGUGGUGCUGCAGGGAGGCUUGCUCUGCUCACCACUGGGGGCCAGG